This 408-nucleotide ribosomal RNA is filed under the name uncultured Methylomirabilota bacterium. RNAcentral describes it as "bacterial SSU rRNA". It matches the Rfam family "Bacterial small subunit ribosomal RNA", at positions 1027 to 1434 of the family's 1533-position model. The record is from RNAcentral. Lineage: Bacteria; Methylomirabilota (SeqCode).
CGUGGAGACAGGUGGUGCAUGGCUGUCGUCAGCUCGUGUCGUGAGAUGUUGUGUUAAGUCCCGCAACGAGCGCAACCCUCACCCCUUGUUGCCAUCAGGUCACGCUGGGCACUCUAGGGGAACUGCCCCGGUCAACGGGGAGGAAGGUGGGGACGACGUCAAGUCCUCAUGGCCUUUAUGCCCAGGGCUACACACGUGCUACAAUGGGCGGCACAAAGGGCAGCGACGCCGCGAGGUGUAGCAAAUCCCAAAAAACCGCUCUCAGUUCGGAUCGGAGUCUGCAACUCGACUCCGUGAAGUUGGAAUCGCUAGUAAUCGUGGAUCAGCAUGCCACGGUGAAUACGUUCCCGGGCCUUGUACACACCGCCCGUCACACCACGAAAGUCUGCUGUACUCGAAGUCGCUGAG